This 419-nucleotide RNase P RNA is filed under the name Hyphomicrobiales bacterium. RNAcentral describes it as "RNase P RNA component class A". It matches the Rfam family "Bacterial RNase P class A". Rfam says of the family: Ribonuclease P (RNase P) is a ubiquitous endoribonuclease, found in archaea, bacteria and eukarya as well as chloroplasts and mitochondria. The record is from RNAcentral. Lineage: Bacteria; Pseudomonadati; Pseudomonadota; Alphaproteobacteria; Hyphomicrobiales.
UCAGCUGGCCGGAUGACUGCUUGUCUCUUGUUAUAAGAGAUUAAGAGGAAAGUCCGGGCUCCAGGGAAACAGGAUGCCGGGGAAAUCCCGGCGAGGGAGGUUUUCAUGCUUGCAUGAAGCUGAACCUUAGGGAAAGUGCCGCAGAAAGGAUACCGCCUGGCGAUGCCAGGUAAGGGUGAAAGGGUGCGGUAAGAGCGCACCGCGCAUCUUGUAAAAGAUGCGGCAGGGUAAACCCCAUCCGGAGCAAAACCAAAUAGGGAUGUCUCGAGCAAAUUCUUUGAAUUUGUUUGGCGUGUGUUUCCUCACUUCAUCCGGGUUGGUUGCUUGAGCUUGAUGGUAACAUUAAGUCUAGAUGAAUGGUCAUCAGUGUGCGUUUUUUACGCAUGCUACAGAACCCGGCUUAUAGGCCAGCUGGCAUA